This 160-nucleotide microRNA precursor is filed under the name Hevea brasiliensis (rubber tree). RNAcentral's name for it is "miR6174 stem-loop (hbr-MIR6174)". Lineage: Eukaryota; Viridiplantae; Streptophyta; Magnoliopsida; Malpighiales; Euphorbiaceae. The record is from miRBase by way of RNAcentral.
UAAGAAAGCAAGGAUGAUAGCUUGGCAUAACAACUACAAAAAUUGAAUCAACUAGAGUGAGUGAGUAGAUUAUUUUCAGGGAUUUCAAGUCUUUCAACAUACUGCUGGAUGACCAAUGGAAUGCUAAGCUGUCAGACUUUGGGCUGGCCAUAUUGGGGCC